This 501-nucleotide ribosomal RNA is filed under the name uncultured Chryseobacterium sp. Its description in RNAcentral is "partial 16S ribosomal RNA". The record is from RNAcentral. Lineage: Bacteria; Pseudomonadati; Bacteroidota; Flavobacteriia; Flavobacteriales; Weeksellaceae.
CACGGAGUUAGCCGGUGCUUAUUCGUAUAGUACCUUCAGCUACUCUCACGAGAGUAGGUUUAUCCCUAUACAAAAGAAGUUUACAACCCAUAGGGCCGUCGUCCUUCACGCGGGAUGGCUGGAUCAGGCUCUCACCCAUUGUCCAAUAUUCCUCACUGCUGCCUCCCGUAGGGGUCUGGUCCGUGUCUCAGUACCAGUGUGGGGGAUCACCCUCUCAGGCCCCCUAAAGAUCAUUGACUUGGUGAGCCGUUACCUCACCAACUAUCUAAUCUUGCGCGUGCCCAUCUCUAUCCACCGGAGUUUUCAAUAUUCAAUGAUGCCAUCAAAUAUAUUAUGGGGUAUUAAUCUUCCUUUCGAAAGGCUAUCCCCCUGAUAAAGGUAGGUUGCACACGUGUUCCGCACCCGUGCGCCGCUCUCAAGAUUCCGAAGAAUCUCUACCGCUCGGCUUGCAUGUGUUAGGCCUCCCGCUAGCGUUCAUCCUGAGCCAGGAUCAAACUCUCG